GGGCGAGUGGCGGAAUUGGUAGACGCACUGGAUUUAGGUUCCAGCGCAGCGAUGCGUGAGGGUUCGAGUCCCUCCUUGCCCACCA
This 85-nucleotide transfer RNA is filed under the name Chthonomonadaceae bacterium. RNAcentral describes it as "tRNA-Leu". It matches the Rfam family "tRNA". Rfam says of the family: Transfer RNA (tRNA) molecules are approximately 80 nucleotides in length. Their secondary structure includes four short double-helical elements and three loops (D, anti-codon, and T loops). Further hydrogen bonds mediate the characteristic L-shaped molecular structure. tRNAs have two regions of fundamental functional importance: the anti-codon, which is responsible for specific mRNA codon recognition, and the 3' end, to which the tRNAs corresponding amino acid is attached (by aminoacyl-tRNA synthetases). tRNAs cope with the degeneracy of the genetic code in two manners: having more than one tRNA (with a specific anti-codon) for a particular amino acid; and 'wobble' base-pairing, i.e. permitting non-standard base-pairing at the 3rd anti-codon position. Lineage: Bacteria; Bacillati; Armatimonadota; Chthonomonadia; Chthonomonadales; Chthonomonadaceae. The record is from RNAcentral.